RNAcentral lists this long non-coding RNA (653 nucleotides) under Lepisosteus oculatus (spotted gar). RNAcentral describes it as "lncRNA (ENSLOCG00000021746.1)". The record is from RNAcentral. Lineage: Eukaryota; Metazoa; Chordata; Actinopteri; Semionotiformes; Lepisosteidae.
GCAGCUCAUUCUGCCAAGUGAGAAUUCUUUCUGACAAACUUCUUCAAACGCUCCUCCGUAGAAUGCAGUUUCUUGUACCUGCUCCUCGAUGGUGUCUGCAAGGCUAACUGUCCUGAGGGAUACUUUGAGGACCUUGACCAGGGGAAGUGCACUCCCUGCCACCCCGCCUGUGCUUCCUGCUCAGGGCCUCUGCCUGACGACUGCGAGAGCUGCUCUCCUGACUCCCCCAAACUGUAUGAAGGCCAGUGCUCUGAGGAAUGUCCUCCAGGAACAUAUUACAAGAUGUCAGCCUAUGAAUGCCAAGAGUGUGACCAGACCUGUGUGAGCUGUACUGGCCCUGAGCCCACAGAUUGCACCAAGUGUAAAAAAGGCCUGACACUGGAUCCAAAAACCAGAAUGUGUGGCAUCACCAGUGACUCCAACUGCCCACCCAAAACAUUUCUUGAUGAAAACCAGGUCUCCUGCAUGGCUUGUCACCACCAGUGUGAAUCCUGUGUAGGGCCUGCUGCAAGCGACUGCCAGACCUGUGCUGUGCCCAAUUACUUGUACAGUAAGAACACCUUCUCAGAUCCUGUCUGUGUCCUUGUAGCUGGCUGUCCAAUUUGUUUAGCAGAUAGGACACAUUUUCAACAUAGUUCAAUGCUAUAUCCAAG